GGAUUAGAUACCCUGGUAGUCCUAGCUGUAAACGAUGGAUACUAGGUGUUGGCCGUAUCGACCCGGUCAGUAUCGUAGCUAACGCGUUAAGUAUCCCGCCUGGGGAGUACGCACUCAAGUGUGAAACUCAAAGGAAUUGACGGGGGCCCGCACAAGCGGUGGAGUAUGUGGUUUAAUUCGAUGCAACGCGAAGAACCUUACCAGGGUUUGACAUGCCGCGAACUUGUCAGAAAUGACUUGGUGCCUUCGGGAGCGCGGACACAGGUGGUGCAUGGCUGUCGUCAGCUCGUGCCG
RNAcentral lists this ribosomal RNA (294 nucleotides) under uncultured bacterium. RNAcentral describes it as "partial 16S ribosomal RNA". It matches the Rfam family "Bacterial small subunit ribosomal RNA", at positions 775 to 1067 of the family's 1533-position model. The record is from RNAcentral.